RNAcentral lists this ribosomal RNA (700 nucleotides) under uncultured bacterium. RNAcentral's name for it is "bacterial SSU rRNA". It matches the Rfam family "Bacterial small subunit ribosomal RNA", at positions 8 to 694 of the family's 1533-position model. The record is from RNAcentral.
AGAGUUUGAUCAUGGCUCAGGACGAACGCUGGCGGCGUGCUUAACACAUGCAAGUGGUGCGACGAACCAGGGCUUGCCCUGGGGCAAAGCCGCGAACGGGUGAGUAACACGUGGGUAAUCUGCCCCGAUGACCGGGACAACCCGAGGAAACUCGGGCUAAUACCGGAUGUUGUGCACAGGCGUAAGCCUGUUCACUAAAGGAAGCUUCGGCCUCCGCAUUGGGAGGAGCCCGCGGCCCAUUAGCUUGUUGGUGGGGUAACGGCCUACCAAGGCAACGAUGGGUAGCUGGUCUGAGAGGACGAUCAGCCACACUGGGACUGAGACACGGCCCAGACUCCUACGGGAGGCAGCAGUGGGGAAUCUUGCGCAAUGCGCGAAAGCGUGACGCAGCAACGCCGCGUGGGGGAAGACGGCCUUCGGGUUGUAAACCCCUUUCAGGAGGGACGAAGGCUCACCGGUGAAUAGCCGUGUGAGUUGACGGUACCUCCACAAGAAGCUCCGGCUAACUACGUGCCAGCAGCCGCGGUAAUACGUAGGGAGCAAGCGUUGUCCGGAAUCAUUGGGCGUAAAGCGCGCGUAGGUGGCCCUGUAAGUCCGCUGUGAAAGUCAAAGGCUCAACCUUUGAAAGCCGGUGGAUACUGUAGGGCUAGAGUACGGAAGAGGCGAGUGGAAUUCCUGGUGUAGCGGUGGAAUGCGCAGA